RNAcentral lists this unclassified non-coding RNA (773 nucleotides) under Hevea brasiliensis (rubber tree). The record is from RNAcentral. Lineage: Eukaryota; Viridiplantae; Streptophyta; Magnoliopsida; Malpighiales; Euphorbiaceae.
UUCUCCUUCUUUGGCUUUCUCUGACCGGUCAGAUCUAAAGAGCAAUCAAUAUCCUCAAUCACAAUAAUAGACUUACCCGUUGUCUGUAUCAGAAGCUUCCUAAGCUCGCUGUUGUCUUUGACUGUAGUCAACUCGAGAUCAUAGACAUCAUAAUUCAAGAAAUUAGCCAUGGCAGCUAUCAUAGUUGAUUUCCCAGUUCCCGGAGGACCAUAAAGGAGAUAACCACGCUUCCAGGCCUUCCCAAUCUUAGUGUAGUAGUCUUUCCCCUUACUGAACUUGAUAAGGUCAUUCUUGACUUCUUGCUUCUUCUUUGUUGCCAUUGCCAAAGUAUCGAAAGUCGCAGGGUGCUCAAACACCACAUGAUUCCACUUACUAGAAUUGUUGGUGUAGAGCUUUCUCUGCCGAUUCUUGAUUGCAAUUUCAUUUCCUUCUUUCACAACAUAAUCUAUAUAAGAUUUGGUGAUUAUAUCUCGAUAACGCCUAUGUACUGUGAGCCUGAAAUAUCUCCUGUCAUCCAAUUCAGGAUAAAAAGAAAAGGACUGUGUUUUGGGGAUGUUUUUUCUUGAAGCCCACCAGAUCUGAAUCCCAUUGAAGUCAUCAGUAAUUUCCUCAUGGUCGUCCAUGGUAAGAAGCACAGACUGAUUUCCCUUGACAGCAUCAGCCAUGAGCCUCUGGGCUCGCUCGGAGGAGUUUGCGCUAAGGUANNNNNNNNGAAUGGCAGAGUAGACCUCGCUGCGCCUGAAACGGUCGCCUGUGUAUUCAUGGAAGGUAAU